AUUCAGCUGACGAGUCCUAAAUAGGACGAAACGCGUGUCCUGGAU
Molecule: non-coding RNA, 45 nt
Filed under: Schistosoma curassoni
Lineage: Eukaryota; Metazoa; Platyhelminthes; Trematoda; Strigeidida; Schistosomatidae
Source: RNAcentral